ACCCACGUUCAGAUUGCAGGCUGCAACCCGCCCUCGCAUGAAGUCGGAAUUGCUAGUAAUCGCGGAUCAGCAUGCCGCGGUGAAUACGUUCCCGGGCCUUGUACACACCGCCCGUCACACCAUGGGAGCCGGUAAUACCCGAAGUCAGUAGUCCAACCACGUGAGGACGCUGCCGAAGGUAGGAUUGGCGACUGGGGUGAAGUCGUAACAAGGUAGC
This 217-nucleotide ribosomal RNA is filed under the name uncultured bacterium. RNAcentral's name for it is "partial 16S ribosomal RNA". It matches the Rfam family "Bacterial small subunit ribosomal RNA", at positions 1285 to 1500 of the family's 1533-position model. The record is from RNAcentral.